UUGCAGAAAAUGCAGACAAUGAAAAAUCUUCAGAUUUUUGUUCUACAAGUCCAGAUAAUUCAAAAGAGAAGACAAAAGGAGAAAUACAUGACGCUUCUGCUGUUUCAGAUGAUUCCAACAGUGCCAAAGCCUCAGGAAUUUCCGUUUUAAUAAAUUCCAUUGGUUUUGAAAAAAGAGCCUUUUCAAAGACUGAAAAUGUCAAUACUCAAGAUGCUAAAAGGUCUUUAGAAUCCAACAAUUGCCGAGAGAGACCAGAGAGCAUAUCGAGUGAUGAAAUAACGCAGCUGUGAAACUUGAAAAAAUGUUAAAAGAAAUUAGUUUAACAGAACUAUGUCAGGGAAUAUACAUAGAUGACAAGAAUGUCAGGAUAACCAAAAAUAAGCUUAGAAAUUGUAAACGCAUAAAUUGUAAAACUUGAGAACUUAUAUAUUAUCCAAACAAUCUGUACACUUUUGACAGCAUUGUAAGCAUUAUUUUGUUACAUAUAU
Molecule: long non-coding RNA, 488 nt
Organism: Saccostrea cuccullata (small rock oyster)
Lineage: Eukaryota; Metazoa; Mollusca; Bivalvia; Ostreida; Ostreidae
Exons: 6
Source: RefSeq, a predicted model, not a curated record